RNAcentral lists this long non-coding RNA (223 nucleotides) under Musa acuminata (dwarf banana). RNAcentral describes it as "long non-coding RNA (MACU_LNC001913)". Lineage: Eukaryota; Viridiplantae; Streptophyta; Magnoliopsida; Zingiberales; Musaceae. The record is from RNAcentral.
UUUUUUUUGAACGAGAUGGGGCAGUGAGGAGGUCGAGCGGUGGUCGAAGGUUGCUGGCCGGGGAAACAACGACAACGGUGGUGGUGGGGAAGAAGGGAAGCAAGGCUGCGGCGGGCUGUGCCAAGGAUCGUUGCUCUGAUACCAAAUGAUAAGACCCUAAAGUCUUAUCGUCGCUCUGAUACCAAAUGAUAAGACCCUAAGGUCUUAUCGUAGAAGAGAUGGG